This is a non-coding RNA of Lolium perenne, 581 nucleotides long. The record is from RefSeq and is a predicted model, not a curated record. Lineage: Eukaryota; Viridiplantae; Streptophyta; Magnoliopsida; Poales; Poaceae.
GACCUCCGUUCACCGCAGAAGGAGCUCGUCGCCGGUGACCUUCCGGUGGUGCUCCGCUCGAGCCGCGCCCCGUUCCCGCUUCCUCGCGUCAUGGCGCACCUCCGACGCCCUCUGCCUGAUCCCGCCUCAGCCUCCCUCGAAAAAUCCGAGCUCGACUUGAUCGCAGUCAUGGCGUUCUGUCUCAGGCCCCGCCUUGUUCUGGGUCAAAACAGCCGCACGUCUUCUUCUAAUCAAAACUGAUUGCCUAGCUUAGUGAUCUGGCGCCCCAAUGGGCCUUGGCCCAGUUCGUCCCGGCAUAGCCCGUCGCUCUGUGCAUGCAGUAGCCCAGAUCCACCCUCUCGCCCGGCGCGGCAGGUAUGAAGAUAUGUUCGAUGAAGACGACGUUAGCAAGGUUACCGUUCCGGCUUGGCCUGGGCAGGGUUAUGGACACCACUGGUUAUCUUCAGGACUCUUAGUCCAAUUUGUAUCUUGUCCGUACUCGGACGUAUUCGAUCUUCUGUAUGAUUUGGAUCUUUGUAUUGUAUAUUUGUAUCUUGACUCGAUGGAGUUGUUGUUGUAAUAUAUGUAUCUUGUGGGCUCUA